RNAcentral lists this ribosomal RNA (507 nucleotides) under uncultured Glomeromycotina. RNAcentral describes it as "partial small subunit ribosomal RNA". It matches the Rfam family "Eukaryotic small subunit ribosomal RNA", at positions 591 to 1092 of the family's 1831-position model. Lineage: Eukaryota; Fungi; Glomeromycota. The record is from RNAcentral.
CCAAUAGCGUAUAUUAAAGUUGUUGCAGUUAAAAAGCUCGUAGUUGAAUUUCGGGAUUGACGUGACGGUCAUGCCUUAAGGGGUAUGAACUGUUACAGUUGAUUUCUCACCUUCUGGAGAAACUUGAUGUCCUUUAUUGGGUGUCUUGCGGAUCCAGGACCUUUACCUUGAAAAAAUUAGAGUGUUUAAAGCAGGCAUUUUUGCUCGAAUACCUUAGCAUGGAAUAAUAGAAUAGGAAGGCAUGGUUCUAUUUUGUUGGUUUCUAGGAUCACCGUAAUGAUUAAUAGGGAUAGUUUGGGGCAUUAGUAUUCAAUUGUCAGAGGUGAAAUUCUUGGAUUUAUUGAAGACUAACUACUGCGAAAGCAUUUGCCAAGGAUGUUUUCAUUAAUCAAGAACGAAAGUUAGGGGAUCGAAGACGAUCAGAUACCGUCGUAGUCUUAACCAUAAACUAUGCCGACUAGGAAUCAGACGAUGUUAAUUUUUUAAUGACUCGUUUGGCACCUUACG